UUGAUUAGGAUUUAGGAUUUGAUUUAGGGUUUGAUUUAGGAUUUGAUUUAGAGUUUAGGAUUUGAAAUAGGAUUUGAUUUAGGGUUUAAUUUAAGAUUUGUUUAGGAUUUGACUUAGGGUUUAGGAUUUAUUAGGAUUUAAGAUUUAAUUAGAUUUGGUCCAAAGUUUGAGUAAAAUUCAAUAGGGUUUUAACUAGAAUUAAAUUAA
Molecule: long non-coding RNA, 207 nt
Filed under: Physcomitrium patens
Lineage: Eukaryota; Viridiplantae; Streptophyta; Bryopsida; Funariales; Funariaceae
Description: long non-coding RNA (PPAT_LNC009866)
Source: RNAcentral